CCUACGGGUGGCAGCAGUGAGGAAUAUUGGUCAAUGGACGGAAGUCUGAACCAGCCAUGCCGCGUGCAGGAAGACGGCUCUAUGAGUUGUAAACUGCUUUUGUACAAGGGUAAACCUGAAUACGUGUAUUCAGCUGAAAGUACUGUACGAAUAAGCAUCGGCUAACUCCGUUCCAGCAGCCGCGGUAAUACGGAGGAUCCAAGCGUUAUCCGGAUUUAUUGGGUUUAAAGGGUGCGUAGGCGGGUUUAUAAGUUAGAUGUGAAAUGUCCGGGCUCAACUCGGGAACUGCCUCUAAUACUGUUGAGCUAGAGAGCAGAAGCGGUAGGCGGAAUGUAUGGUGUAGCGGUGAAAUGCUUAGAGAUCAUACAGAACACCGAUUGCGAAGGCAGCUUACCAAGCUAUAUCUGACGUUGAGGCACGAAAGCGUGGGGAGCAAACAGGAUUAGAUACCCGAGUAGUC
This 460-nucleotide ribosomal RNA is filed under the name uncultured bacterium. Its description in RNAcentral is "partial 16S ribosomal RNA". It matches the Rfam family "Bacterial small subunit ribosomal RNA", at positions 338 to 795 of the family's 1533-position model. The record is from RNAcentral.